GUACAGUGGCGGACAAAAGUCUACAUACACCCCCUAUUUCCAUUGAUAUGAGAGUACAAAAAGUUUUUAGAAAAAUGUAUUUAUACAGUUUUAUUCUAAUAUUUAUUAUAAUAACAGUUAACUAAAAAAAUUCAUUAUUUAACAUAAAACAACAAAUUUAUGGAAGAAAAACUCAAAAAUUGCUUUGACAAAAGUGUACAUACAGUUCAAAUCCCAUACUUUGUACAUUGUUAUAUUAACAGUAAGGUAACGUUAGCCUUUUUCUUUUAUUUCAAUAUGUUUAUUGUUUGAUAUUUAUUGAAUUUAGUUGUGGUUUAAGCCCUUCAAUAGCUAUAAUGGCUCCGCGAAAUGAAAUAUCAAUUGAUGUAAGAAAUUUGAUGAUAAAAGAAAGAAAAGAAAAAAAAUCAUAUGGUGAAAUUUCUAAAAUUUUAAACUUGAGUCGAGCAACAGUACAGACAAUUCUAAAAAACUUUAAAAAUAAUGGUUCCAACGAAAAUAAACCGCGCAGUGGACGCCCAAAAAAACAAUCUCGUAGAGACGUCAGCCUGAUUCUCAACGAAGUAGACCAAAAUCCAAAAGUAAAUGCUCCAAAUAUAGCCGAACGCAUAGUAAGUACGUCACAAAUAAGUAUCCAACCAAGAACAAUAAAAAAAAACUCUAAACGAUAACGGAUUCCACAGUAGAACACCACGGAAGAAACCUUUUAUUUCUGAAAAAAUCGGAAACUUCGUUUAAAGUUCGCCAAAAAACACAAAGAAAAGGAAAUGGAUUUUUGGAAAAAAGUCUCAUUUACAGAUGAUUCUAAAUUCACCCUUUUUGGUAGUGAAGAAGGGGCUAAAAUUUGAAGGAAAACUAACGCCACGCUUGAACCGAAGAACGUAGUAUCAAUUGUGAAGCUCGGUGGAGGCAGCGUAAUGGUUUGGGGAGCUGUUGCGGCCUCUGGAGUUAGAAAUUCGGACUUUAUUGAAGGUGAAAUGGACGGUUAUAAGUAUAAGUCUCUGUUGGAACAUAAUUUGAAGCCUUUGGUGGAUAAUUUAGGGCUCGGUUCCAGUUGGAUAUUUCAACAAGAUAACGAUCCGAGGCAUGCGGCCCAAAUUGGUAAGGACUGGUUGCUUUAUUAUACUCCAAGGCAAUUAAAUACACCACCUCAAAGUCUAAAUAUGAAUAUUAUUGAACAUGUCUAGGAGAUUUUGGUGCGUAGAAUUAGAAAGCACCAAGUUUCUAGCUCUGCUAUACUCUAAGAGCGCAUAUUGGAACCUUGGAACAGCAUUACAUCUGCAGCGUUGACAAAUUUAGCAGAAUCAAUGCCACGGCAUCUUCAAGCAGUUAUAGAUGCCAAUGGGGACCCAACUAAAUACUAAAACGUCUUAAUAACUAGCAUUUUGUAAAGUUUUUCGCACUGAACUAAGAUAUUUUUGUACUGUAUGUAGACUUUUGUCAACACAAUAUUUGAGUUUUUAUUCCAUAAAUUUGUAGUUUUAUAUUAAUUAACGGAUUUUUUAAGUUUGUUGUUAUUAGAAAGAAGAUUAGAAUAAAACUGUAUCAACACAUUUUUCUAAAAAGUUUUUCUACUCUCACAUCGAAGAAAACAGGGGGUGUAUGUAGACUUUUGUCCGCCACUGUAUAUGUUAUCGCUCAUAUAGAAUAAAUCUAAGUGUAUGUAUUCUCCUACUUGAUUUGGUGUUGGUGCUGCACCAAUCGGUUGUUUGUUUGGUCGGCGUUCAUAUUUGUUUGUGAGACAGAUUUCACAGUCUUGUACUUCUUUUUUACAGGCCUCUCGUAUGUUUGGCCAGUAAUAUUUUAACGAAAUUUCCUGUGCGUUAUUUUUGUAAUUUCUGUGUGCACGUCUAUGUGUGCCAUUUAUGAUUUGUUUUUGUUUUUCGACUUCGGUUAUGUCUUCAACCGUUUUAUGAGUUAGAACAAUAGACACAGUGGGAAAUACACUGAUAAUAUCAUUUUCAACGAAAAAUAAUAUUUGUUCAUCUAUUUGUAGAGCGUUUACAACUUGUGUUUUGAUUACAUUUUUUAAUCUGUCCAAUAGCUCAGUUUUAGUGUUAAAAAAAAUUGUAUGUCUACUGUUAGAAAAUAUAUUUUGAUAUGAUACUUGGGUGGGGUUUGCGUCUGAUUGUUUUAUAAUAAUUUGAUUUUUAAAUCUAUUUAAUGGUUGCUUUACGCGUUUAAUUUUUUCCAUAGGAGAGCUUUGUGCUGAAUGUUGGGAAUUAUUAGAAUUAGAUGUGUUAUUAAUUUGUUGGCGGGAAAGUGCAUCAGCAACAACGUUCUGCUGACCAGGUUUGUAAGUGAUUUUAGCGCCGUAUUCUUCGAUGAAAUUUUUCCAUCUUUUUAAUUUUGUAUUUUUUUCCGAUAUGGCAAAAAUUAAAGAUUGACGACCGGUGUAUAUAGUGAAAUCUGCUAUGACGUACAAGUAAUUUCGAAGCUUUUGUAAAGCCCACACAAUUGCGAGUAACUCUUUUUCGUUUGUAGAGUAAUUCAGUUCGGUUUGGCUAAGUGUUCGUGAAAUAAAUGAUAUGGGUUUUUUAUUUUGCGAUAAUACAGCUCCUAUCGCGUGUUUGUAAAAGUUAUUUUAUCUUGCUAAUAUGCGGGAAUAUACACCCGUCUUACAAUUAGUUUUGUUUUAUUUUGCCUGUAUUUUGAACAGGGCUUUUUUGUAUUUUGCCUGUUUUGUAAGUACAGGACUUUUUAAUUUGGCCGAGCUCUUCAUCCGGCUCGAAGGACCAAAAAAUGUUAAUACCUCAAUAUAGCUUCUAACAAUCCUUACCGCUGGUGGGGGGAAUUGAAAGUCUUACAUUGAGGGAGAAUCUAUUCAUUCUGAUUUUUAUUUUGUAUUUUCUUGCUUAUAUACAAUUUUUAAAUCUAUCUUAAAUAACUAAAUAUAUUUGUAUGUGUGUAUGUGUGUAUGUUUUUAUGUAUUGCAGCAUAUUAUUAUUGCUGCUUGACAUGGGGUUGAUUUCAAGUGUAUAAUUUAUUGUAAGUGUGCGUGUGUGUGUUUAAUGUUAUCUCUGCUGUAUAUUUAUGAUUUUUGUCCCAUGCAUUUUUAUUAUUAUUACUCGUAGAUGUGCAUUGCAUGUAAAUGCAUUAUGUCUAUACAUAUGUAUGUAUGUAUAUUAAUAUAUAAAUAGAUAUUUCUAUUUAGUACAAUUUCGGCUUGCUGAUAAGUAAGCAUGUUCAAUGAUAUUUGAACAUCGCGUAAUUACUAGCGUCUGUGGUUAAUUCGAAAGGUUCACAAUGUUAUACACCAUCAUAAUUUAUACGGGGAUUCCAUUCAUCACAGCUCAAGUCGAAAUCAUGGAUCUCAAUCACGGGAAUGGAUAUUCCCUUCUGAACCUAGAAAAAGUAAAGUUAGUAGAAAGAUACGACAGAAUUACAUAUCUUAUCAAUACAACAAUGUACAAAGAAAUAGUUGACAAUUUAGAUUAGAUGGCACUCAAAGAAAAAGAACCGAAUCCGCUUGUAAUGGCUAAAAUUAAGCAUAUUAGAACUCAGAUAUAUACACUCACCCUGCAUCAUUGAAUUGAGAAAAGGGGAUAAGUUUAUAUUAUAGGAAUAGGUCGUAAAUAUAUUUAUGGCGUCAUGGACGACGAAGACCGUCAAGAAAUAGAAGGCAAAUUAGAAAUAAAUACAAUCAAUGCCCACAAUGCAAUUGAACAAAUCAAUGUUCAGAAAAACAUUAAUGAAAAAUUUAACUACCAAAUUAAAGCUAUUAGUGAUAAUACUAACAAUCACUACAGGAAAUUGUUUCAGAAUAUUGUUGCGAAUUUACUCCUUACUAGUUUACUUUACUAGGUUCGUAUCUCUGGAUUGACAAAUAAAACCGUUUAAUUCACUUCAACAAAAUCUCUUUAUUUUACAACUCGUCUACACUAUAGCAGUUUACUCUUAGCACUGGUUUAUUACGUUGGCGCUGCCACGGCUUAUAUAGCCACGCACUUCUCGCUGAUGCCGACGUGUCCUUCUAGAAUAUUGCGUCUGGAACUUACAAGAACAUAAUGUUAUACGGCGCCAAAUGCAGUUAUUGUUUAGACAAGCAGACAGCCGUGGCGCCAGACUCAGCAAUUGUUUAAGUAGACAAGCAGACGGCUGCGGCGCCAGAUGUCUAUUGUUUCGACAAGCAGACAGCCGCGGCGCCAGAUGUCUACAACAAGACAAAUGCUAUUCCAUAUACCUACAGCUAUUGUUCAUAAUAAGGGAUGCAUAUAGCAAUACAAAUACAACUUAAUACUACUUUUGUAACAAUAUUAACGCAGUUAGCUCAGAAUUAAAUAAAAUAGCAAAAUAACGGUGGACGAACAAACUGUUAGGGAAUUUAAUGUAUAUUGAGACUAAUAUCGUAAGAAUAAAAGAGAUCAUAAUGACGAGUCAAAAUAAUCUCUUAAGUAGAGAUAUUAUUUCAGAUGACGAUAGUUUAAAAUUGAAUAUAACUUUUGAAAAAUUGUGUAAGAUCAAAACUGUAAUUAUCACUCAAAACGAAAAUAUUGUGAUUUUAGUGAAGAUUCCUAGUUUUACCAAAGAGAUAUAUCAAUCAAUAUACAUUUAACCUAUACCGAAUACAAAUCAAGCAGAAUUAAAUAUACAAGAAAAAGAAAUUUUAUGUCUAAAUCAUGUCACAUAUAAAAAGACUGCCAUAAAAAAAGAAAUAGAAGAAUACAAAGACGAAUGCAUCGAAUACUUAUUUAGGAGUCACAAUAAAAUUAAUUGUAAAUAUAAGUAUAAUUACCAAUCAAAAGUCAAAGAAAUGAAUACAAAUCAUAUUUAUCAUAACUGUAAUUUUAACAACUUUACUAUUAACGGUAAUUAUUUAAUACGAUUUGAAAAUUGUAAUGCUCAAAUUGAUAACUUAUGGUGGUAUUCUGCAAGCAGUCUCAAGUCUCUAAUAGAGACGAAUCUGUGGUGAAAUCUAUUUAGUGACUGUUUGGUAUUCUGACGAGUUUGUUUCAUCUCUAAUUGAGCAAUAUCAGUCUCUAACUUGUUAUAUGCUUUGCAAAUCAUAGAAAAACAAGAGCAAAACAAUGGCUGAUGAAGUUGGACUAUUUUACCUUAUGAUGAAAAAACGCGAGGGGGAGGACAGGCGCAAUCUGACUGUUUUGCGAAACAAAAAAGAUCCGUUUUCAUACGAAAAGAACACAUUCAGGAAGUUCUUCCGAUUUCCCAAAUCUUUGUGCUAGGAUCUCAUUAUUCAACUCAAGCCGUAUGACCAGCAGCAAACAUCGAUUCCAUUUGAAAUUCGGUUUAUUUCAGUUUUAUAUUUUUUAUGCAAUGGCUCACAUCAGUGUUGCGUGGGAAAGACAUAGGGGAUGUUCGAGCAAGCAAAUAACUGCGGUAAUAUUGCAACCCUGAUGUUUUUUUGCAGAUGCUCAGCUGAUACUUAUGCAUAUAUUUUGCAAAUAUUUUGCGCGGCAUGCAAGUAAAUUGAACAAGUGGAGUUAAAAAGUUUCAAAAAUGAAUUUUUUAAUAAAUUUAACACUUGAUAGCAUGGUGGAGAGUGAGAGUGCUUUACUUUUGAAAUACAAACAAAAAAGGAAAGAAAGUUUUGCGCGUAAAAAGAAAUGGCUUUUGACUGAAAUUUUAAAAAAGAGGACGAUAGGGAAAUCGCAAAACUUCCUCAAGACAAUUCCAUUUUAUCCUCCGGACAUAUAUUUGUCACAUUUUCGGAUGUCUCGUGAAACAUUUGCGGAAUUAAAGAGCGCCUUGGAGCCUUUUUGGAUAACGUCACGAGGGGAAUAUUCAAUGGAUCAGCCCUUGCAUAUUACCUUGUGGAAGCUUAGUAACAGCAGAGUCACUUAUCGCGAAUUAUGCCCACAAAAUUUUUCUUAAAACGAUCAAUGCAAUUUGUAAGUUGAAGCAUGAAAUAUGUAGGCCAUCAAUUUCUCAACAGCAAACAAUAAUGGAGCGUUUCCAAGCGAGCCGGCCGAAUGCAUUUCCUUUCGUAGUCGGCUGUUUGGAUGGGACACAUUUUAAAAUAAACACACCGAAGAAGGAUGCAAUUAGCUACUAUGACCGAAAGGGGAACUAUUCCAUUAUUAUGCAGGGCAUAUGCGACAGCACAUUUCGUUUCUUGGAUGUUUUUAUCGGCUACCCAGGGAGCUGCCAUGACGCCAACGUAUGGAAAAACUGUCCGAUAUACAAAGGAAUUACGUCUGGAGAGAUACAACUUGCAAAAGAUGCUAUAAUUUUAGCUGACUCAGCUUAUCCUCUUUCAAAAUAUUUGAUCGCGCCUUAUAGAGAUAAUGGACAUCUGUUGAGAGAGGAGAAACAAUUUAAUUAUUAUUUAAGUUCAACUCGGGUAUUCAUUGAACAAGCUUUUGGGAUUUUGAGGGGAAAGUUCAAAAUUUUAAAUCAUAUUGAUAUUCAAAAUAUGGAAGAGGUAUCAAAAGUAGUAUUAGCUUGUGUAAUUUUGCAUAAUUUAAUAAUGCGGAACAAUUUUAAUGAUUCUGAAAUCAAUUAUCCAUUGGAAAAUUUCGAAAUAUUUAAUGAAAACGAUGCUGAAAUGCAUGAAAACAUAAAUGAUACUAACGAAGGUAUUAUCAAAAGAAAUAAUUUAAAAAUGUUGUUUGUUUCUUAAAUUUUUUAUUUUUUAAAUAAAAAUGUUAGUAAAUAAAUAUAUGUA
RNA transcript from Bactrocera dorsalis (oriental fruit fly), 6622 nucleotides. RefSeq lists it as uncharacterized. The transcript has 6 exons. Lineage: Eukaryota; Metazoa; Arthropoda; Insecta; Diptera; Tephritidae. The record is from RefSeq and is a predicted model, not a curated record.